RNAcentral lists this ribosomal RNA (1146 nucleotides) under human gut metagenome. Its description in RNAcentral is "bacterial LSU rRNA". It matches the Rfam family "Bacterial large subunit ribosomal RNA", at positions 809 to 1984 of the family's 2925-position model. The record is from RNAcentral.
GUGUGGAUAGCGGAGAAAUUCCAAUCGAACCCGGAGAUAGCUGGUUCUCCUCGAAAUAGCUUUAGGGCUAGCCUCAUGAGAGUCUUAUGGAGGUAGAGCACUGAAUUGCCUAGGGGGCGUCAAAGCUUACCAAAGCAUAUCAAACUCCGAAUGCCAUCAAGAUGAUUCAUGGGAGUCAGACCAUACGAGAUAAGUUGGAUGGUCAAAAGGGAAAGAGCCCAGACCUACAGCUAAGGUCCCAAAGUACGUGUUAAGUGGAAAAGGAUGUGGGGAUUCUAAGACAACUAGGACGUUGGCUUAGAAGCAGCCAUUCAUUGAAAGAGUGCGUAAUAGCUCACUAGUCGAGAGUCCCUGCGCCGAAAAUGUCCGGGGCUGAAACACGACACCGAAGCUUAGGAAUGUGUAAACAUUGGUAGAGGAGCAUUGCUGGCGGGAUGAAGCCAUACCGUAAGGAGUGGUGGACUGCCAGGAAGAGAGAAUGCCGGAAUGAGUAGCGAGAUGAAGGUGAGAAUCCUUCAGGCCGAAUAUCUAAGGUUUCCAGAGUAAAGCUGAUCUGCUCUGGGUAAGUCGGGACCUAAGGCGAGGUCGAAAGACGUAGUCGAUGGAUAACAGGUUGAAAUUCCUGUACCGCAUAUAAACAGAACUGUGGGGACACAGACAGGGAAUGGAAUCCGGGAAUGGAUAUCCCGGUGCAAGCGAGGUAGGAGUGCUGUUGGCAAAUCCGCAGCACGAUCUGAAGACGUGAUGCGUACCGAACAUAAGUAGGGAAGUCCAGGCCCCUGGCUGUCAAGAAAAGCCGCUAUUGUUUUAUAUGUGCCCGUACCGCAAACCGACACAGGUGGAUGAGGAGAGAAUCCUAAGGCCGACGGGAGAAGUAUUGUUAAGGAACUCGGCAAAAUGACUCCGUAACUUCGGGAGAAGGAGUGCCAUGAGAGUGGCCGCAGAGAAAUGGCCCAAGCAACUGUUUAGCAAAAACACAGGUCUAUGCAAAACCGCAAGGUGAAGUAUAUGGGCUGACGCCUGCCCGGUGCUGGAAGGUUAAGGGGAGAGGUUAGCGCAAGCGAAGCUUUGAACUUAAGCCCCAGUAAACGGCGGCCGUAACUAUAACGGUCCUAAGGUAGCGAAAUUCCUUGUCGGGUAAGUUCC